AUUAAGCGGCGAGGAGGAGAUGGGGCAGGGGGCACCUAGCAGGGACUUAGAGACCGUCGCUAAGGAACUGGCGGCAGAGAGGAGAGCAGGGAAGAGGCGGAGAGCAGGGAAGAGGCGGAGACCAGGACUCUGCAGGACGACUGAUGAGGACAGCUGGCGGUGAGGCCCCCAUCUGAUUCUGGAGUCAGUGUUUGGCUGAAAGCUGGGCAUACAGGACUAUUCAAGACGGAGUUUCACCAUGUUGACCUCAGGUGAUCCACCUACCUGGGCCUCCUGAACUGCUGGGAUUACAGGCGUGAGCCACCGCGCCCAGCUCUUCAAGUUUCUGCUACCAAGAUGACUUCACUGAAUAAGGAGCUGGGUGUACAAUGGGCACUCGUGACCUGGCAUGAGCGGAUGCCAGCACGCCACUGUCCACGGGCAUCUAAGUGGGGAUAUUCAGUCAGCCAUUGGAUGUACACCAAGUCGGCACACGGGGAAGAGACAUCUGGGCUGGAGACAGAGGUUUGAGUGUUAUGAGCAAUUAGCAGGUAAAGUCACAGUAAUGGAUGAAGUCACCAAUGAAUAACAUGGAGAGUGAGCAGAGGAGGCCAAAGUCAGUAUUCUGGGAAAAACAAUGUUUGCAGAGUGCCCUGAGGAGGAGGAGAUGCUAAGAAGCCAGAAGAGGUAGAGGAAGGAGGCCCUGUGACCCAUCAGAGCCACAUCCGCCACUUGCUCUCGAGGGUCCUGCCUGCUCAGAUAAGUUGGCUACUCAUUGGUCAUCACCUGGCAACUCUGUCCUUCCUUGCAUCUGGCCAACUUCUUUUUCCUCUCUCUUUCCUCCUGCCCUCCUCAUUACCAUCUAAAUUAGCUCCAGUAGCUCUCAUCAAAACUCAAAUAACGGCCAGGCGCUGCGGCUCAUGCCUGUAAUCCCAGCACUUUGGGAGGCUGAGGCGAGUGGAUCACCUGAGGUCCGGAGUUUGAGACCAGCCUGGCCAACAUGGUGAAACCCUGUCUCUACUAAAAAUAUCAAAAUGAGUUGGGCGUGGUGGCACAUGCCUGUAAUCCCAGCUACUUGGGAGGCUGAGGCAGGAGAAUCGCUUGAACGU
Gorilla gorilla gorilla (western lowland gorilla) is the source of this 1088-nucleotide long non-coding RNA. RefSeq lists it as uncharacterized. NCBI's taxonomy places the organism in Eukaryota, Metazoa, Chordata, Mammalia, Primates, Hominidae. The transcript has 3 exons. The record is from RefSeq and is a predicted model, not a curated record.